CUUGGCUGCCAGGAAGUGCUCCCAAGAUGAGGAAGGAGAGAGAAGAAAACCGGGGUCUUAGGUCCAAGCAAAUUAUUACUUUAGAGCGGGAAACCAAGGCUGUGCCUUUGAUUGACAACCCGCCGAAAGAACACACAGGUUCUGUAAAUUUCCCCGAGGGUGUACCUCCCCCCACACCCCGCCCCCACUCUUCUAUCAUCUCUCCUUACGGGUAGUCAGGCUAUUAACCCCCGUUUAUUAAGCGGCUGCUAGGUGUGUGGUUCCACCAGGACUCAGGAAAUCUACACACUACCUGGAUGAAAACACAAAUCAAAGGAGGAGGACACCACUACUCCUAAAGUACGGAGAAUUUGACUGUAGAUGAAGGAAGAAAGCAGGCAGAAGGAAGAGUCCAGGCUGAACAUGGCCGCCAGACUAACCCGGACCGUGAGAGGACAGAGGAGGAAGCUUCCAUCUGUGACCCGAGAAUAAGGAAUGUGAGUAGAAAACGGUCGUAAUAGAAGACCUGAAGAAUGGAGCCUCAGAAGAAAGCCAGUGGGAAUUAGUGCAAGUGUGCACACACGAGGGUAUGUGUGAGUGCGCGCGCGCGCGCGUGUGUGCCCGCGCACGUGCGUGCGUCCACAUGCGUGUGCAAACAGACAAGGGCCGAGCGAGGAUCUUCCUCUUUUCGUCUCUGGUAGGUGUUUUUAAGAUCCAGGUGUUAGCAGAACACAUAUUGCAGGGAAGAGGGCUCCUGUGCUUCCUGGGUUCCUGUGUGUUCUCACACUCUUGCCUUGGCUAAAAAGUCUGCAAGAGAGGAGGAGGACUCAAAACAUUUUCUUAGCCGUGGCCUCCCCACCUGGGCCUGGGCCCUCUGCUGUCUGGCAGCCCUGUUAGCUAUGCUUGUCAUCCUCCACGCCCCAGCACAGAGGCCUGCCCUGCUCCCCUGCACACUUUGGCAGCCUUUUCCAGGCAGGUCCCAGGAGCCCCUGCUACACAGAUAGUGUGGAGUGCAGCCUGGGGCCGGCUCAGGAGAUUGGUUCAGCCUGGGCCACUUAGCAUACUCUGAGGAUCUUGGAUACAUCCAUUUGAUUAAAAUAAAAUUAAAAAAAAAAGUGAUUCACUAUGCCCAGGCCUAAUCGUUAGGAUAAAAAGAAGAAAAGGAAAAGGAAACAAGGAAAAGAAUGUAGCAUCCUUGGCUCUGGGCUCUUUUCUUUUACAAAUGCAAACACAGUCCAAGGGAAAGGCCUGGGAAACCCGCUGAUUAGAUAGAUAGCGAGGAUGCUCUCUAUCAGGAGGGUUAUCUCUGUUCUAACAAAGCCCUGUUGACCUGCCCUCGUGAGUGUCCCUCACCCAGGCCAGCCUGGCCACCUAGCUGAACUCUGAGAGCUGCUGUUGUCUCUAAGGUAUGCGGGCUGUGAAGGGAAGGAGCGGGACUGUGGAGCCUUGGUACAUCCAGAAUAGCAGAAUGCAGGAAGGGUACAGGGAGACUGGAGGAGGCCAGUGUGGGUCAGGGGAGACUCAGGGGCUUGAUUUUCUCAGAGCAAGCUGAGGCAUUUCGGGAGCUGGGGUUGUGGAUCAAUGGGACAACCACAGUGCUGUCGAAGCUGGGCAUGGACAUGUGAGAAGGGAGUGUUGUAAGGAAAGCUGUGCUCCAGUUCUCUGGAGCUGGCAAUUUCCAGGAGUACUAGCAGAGGAAACAGGGGAAAAGUCUAGGAUGUUGCCGGGAGGCCUGCCUCACCUUCAGCAGUGUGAGGGUGGGUGAGAGGCACUGGGACUUGGCUUCCUCCCACUUCCUUCCCAUUUGAGAUAGGGAGUUGAAAUCUUUACCAUGUUUAAUGAUGAAACAACGUUCUACAAUGUUCCACCGCAGGGCACACCUGCCAGGGCAAAGGACCCAGUCUCCUAGCAUCUCUGUGGUGCCCUCUAGGCUUCUGAUUACACAGGGCUUGAAUCAAUAAGCAGGACCUGAACAAUCAAUGAAUGAGUGGAGACCAGUGGGUCUGGGAUGAGACGAACAGACAAGGAUGAGGUACAGCCCAGAAGGCAGCUGGUAACAGAAAGCAUCUCUCCCUGGGAGCCUUUGCUCACUAUGGACCUGUGUGCAUGGCUGUAUGUGAUGUGCACCCAGAUGUCUGCCAGCGGGUAGUCUGUCCUGCAGAAAGACUUGGACCACCACUUCUUCUCAGCUGCAUUUGAACUCUUAUAAACAGUGGGCAAGACGAUUCAGUCGAUAAAGGAUCUUGUCACCAAGGCUUACAACCCGAGUUCAAUACCUCCAAACACCUUGUUCUCUGAUCUCCACAGGUGCA
Alexandromys fortis (reed vole) is the source of this 2291-nucleotide long non-coding RNA. RefSeq lists it as uncharacterized. The record is from RefSeq and is a predicted model, not a curated record. Lineage: Eukaryota; Metazoa; Chordata; Mammalia; Rodentia; Cricetidae. The transcript is spliced from 3 exons.